UUUGUCUUUUCAGGGUCGCACCUGCAGCAUAUGGAGGUUCCCAGACUAGGGGUCUAAUUGGAGCUACAGCUGCUGGCCUACACCACAGCCACAGCCAUGCAAGAUCUUAGCCAUGUCUGCAAACUACACCACAGCUCAUGGCAACACCAGAUCCUUAACCCACUGAGUGAGGCCAGGGACCAAACCUUCAACCUCAUGGUUCCUCGUCAGAUUCGUUUCCACUGUGCCACAAUAGGAACUCUUGGGAAUUUUGCUCUUCUUAUUCUUAACUAUGAGUAUUUUCUGACUUUUCUCACCAUGACCAUAUGUUGCUCUUGUAGUCAGAAAAAAAAAAAGAAACCUAGAAAUAUUUUAUCCUUGAACAUCUCUCUUAGGGAAGAGAACUUGCUACUUUGUACAACACUAAAUAGGAAAGUGAAACAGGUUGGAUAAAUAAAUUAGGGUCAAGACCCAGGUACCUUCCAAAAUGGGGGACAUGUCAGAGAAAUGGAAAAUGAAAAGUUAAUGAGGUAACAAUCAAUGGCUUCUCUUCCAUCCCAUCUCUAAAGCUCCUGAGCCGCCACCCCUCCUGGCUGUCCUCACCCUCUACCACCCCUGCAUUGUGGCAUCCACCCCUCUGUACGUGGUCCUGGGCUGAUUUCAGCUAUUGCUCUGCAACCUGAACUUUCCUCCAAGCUCUCUCCCAGCCUAUUCCAUUAGACUUCCAAUCUCCCUCUCUCAACCAGCUCCUUUCCCAGGAUUCCGUCUCUACUCAGUGGCAUCACCAGCACCCAAGCAGACAUCUCAUGGUUACAGUGAACUCCUCCCUCUCUGUGAUUCUUCAAGCAGUUCAGGACAUGUGAUGUUGUGCCCGCUACCUAAAUGCCUCUGGUAUCUGCUCUCUUCUCCUAACCUCCUUCCAGUCUUAGUCCAAUCCCCCUUCAUCCCUAACCUACAUCUGACACCUUCCCUCCAGUUCCAAAGAGAAGUUCACUAUUUCUUCCUCAUGCAAAGCCAUCUCGUACCCACUUGCCUGCAACAUAAAGUCCAAACUGCUUUCUGCUAUGCACAAGGCCCUUUAAAACCUCGUUCCAACUCAUCUUUCCAGUCUUAACACUCCUGGACCACCACCAACUACCUCACGCCCCACCACACACACACACACACACACACACACACACACACACACACCCCACCACAUUUCCACCAAGUCCCAAACCUAACAUGCAUUCAAUGCCCACAUCACUGCAUCCCAUUUCUACUGCCUACAAACCCUUUUUUACUUUUCUCUUUCCUCUCCUGUCAUCCAUUCUUUAGCAUCUUUCUCAGACAGUUUCCUCUCUGAUAAUUAAGCCCCAGCUCCACUCCUGAGCAGUCAUUUGCCCUCCUCCCCCCAUGUGCUUUUACAGCAUCACACACUGUCCUCUUUUAUGUUAGCUUCAUUCCCAUGCUGCCCCUGUCCCCAAAUGAGACUGUGAACAGGGUCCGUGCUCAAGUCUUUUGUUACUGCUAGGAAAGCUAAUUAGUCACUUCUCCAGUCUCCUGCAGCCAGGGAUGGUCGUGUGACACAGCCUGGCCAAAGAGACAUCGGUGCAAAAUUGCUGAGGAAGCUCUGCAUAAUUUUUCUGUUUUCUUGGUAACAGACAAAAACACAGCUGACACCUCCCUCUUGCUCUCACCUUGCACAUGGAUGUGACAUCUGGGGCUGCAGAAGGAUUCUUGCCAAUGGGAGGGCAAAGCCCAAAGAAUCAGAGCGAUGACAGCCUGACAUCUUAGAGGCCCUGGACAAUAGACUUACAAGGUGAGAAAAGUCAACUCUGGUUUUAUAACUAAUUUUCACAUUGUCUGUUGCUUGCUGCAUUCCUAAGUGCUAUUUUAUGAGCAAAUUAAUGUAGCUGUAACUAUUGGGGAUCUAUCAGUCUCCUUGUUAUCUAAAGUGGAGUCCAGCUGCUCAUAGCUCUAAAGCCAAUAAAGAGGCAAGGCUGAUGGAAAGGAAAGUUUGCUUUAUUUCAGAGGCCAGCAAGUGGGAAGGAUAGUGGACUCCUGUCCAAAGGCCAACUCUCUCCACUGACAGUUAGUGGGCAUGAGCUUUUAUAGGUGGAAGGAGGGGACUACAUGCAGAAACAGCACAGUCCACUUUGACAGACACCUUGAAAUUGGUCGUGGUGGUCUGAUCAGCCUUAUCUUGACUGUUUUAAGUACACUUAGUCUUCAGUUCCAGAGUCAGUUUAUUCCCAUUUCUUUGAGGCCAUUUCUCAAAAUGAUGGCAGCUUAUGUCUUGGCUACAAUCUGGUCAUCUGUAGUUAACGUCUUCCACUUGGUGGAGGUUUCAAUAUCUACAAGACAGUUUGCAGGAUAAGGCUCAGAAUAUGACCUACAGCUCUUGAGGAGGAACUAAAGGUCCUUGACUUUGCUUAAUGACUGAACUAUUAUUUUUUUGUCCUUUUUUAUUGUUUUCCUUUGCUUCUGUAUUUUCUCACUUCUCUGACUAAACUUAUUCUUUGCCUAAAGUUUUCCCACAGAUAAAAGGCAGGUGGAGGACAAGAAGGCGGAAGGACCAUAAGGUCUACUCCAUUUCAACCCCCCCACCUUUUCUUUGAUGUUCCUUAGUCUUGAGGAUGGACAGGGACAAAAUAAGAAAGGAAAUAAAGCUUUGGAUAGAGAGUUUAACCUAAACUUGGCAGAGGAACCCAGUUUUAGUUUACAUUUUUUGUUCCAAUUUUCCCCAUUUCUUUGAGGGAAUGAAGUGAUGACCACUCUGGCUCUUCCUGCUGAAACAGGGCACAGUCCUGCCUAAUUUGGGAAAUGGAUACAGAGUUAGAAAUAACCUCAAGUUCCAAGCUUAGCAUCAAUAUUUUCCAUUACGAAAACAUUAACUCUCUCUUUGAUUGCUUUGUUAAUACACCUAGACAAACAUUUGAAAAUCACUAGACAUAUUACAAUGAGGAUAAUAAUCAAAAUCUAUCUUUGUACUAUUUUCUAAAAGUAUUUUUUCUUAAUGGUUAAAGCAGAUGUAAAAUGUAUGUUCACUAGGCCAAAAAUAGGCUGUUUUGGUUAGGCUAAAGUUCAAAUUUAAUCAUGUAUAAACCAGAAUGACUUCACUAUGCUUCAAUGCAUGACAUUUUCCUUCAUCAUUUUCCCCUUUUAAUUGCAUAUCUUUCCACAGAAGUCAAUAAUAAUCAAUAUAUUUUUCCAUCAUUGCCAGAAUGGCUCAGUGUCCCUUAGUGAUAGGCCUACUUUUUGUUUGUACAUUUGCCUAGACAUCCACAUUGGGGGAAAACUAAUCAUACAUAAUAAUAAAGUACAGAGAGGUAUGUUGAUGGGAGAACAUUUUACAGGCCAUACAUUUUACCACUUAUACCAGUUGUCACAAGAAUCAUAUAAAUGCUUUCAGCAAUAAAUUUAGAUCCAGCAAUGAUACACAUCGUAAGUAAUUAUACUCUUUAAUAACUUCAUUAGUAAUUUUUUUCAUCCUGAAAAUCAGGGUCAAAAGUAUGAUUAGAAGUAAAACAAUAGUAUCUUAUUAUAAUUCUUUAAAUUUCUUAUCAAUAUUUUUCUCUUAGAUGCCUCAGGGACCCUCAGAAAAGCUUAAAGUUAGCUAGAGAAAGAAACUUACAAUCUGUUAUCAAAAGCAGCUAAUAUUCCAGGAAAACUUUAUUCUCUGAACAUGGAGAAGGAAAAUCAAAUUCCAGUCUUGAACCAGCUUAAUGCUAAGAAUAAAAUUAAUUUACCUAAAAAAUUCAAUCUAAUCUUAAUCAAUCUUAAUAACAUAUAAAAUUCUAUUUUCAAAGUCUCCCCCAACCUCUUUUUUACAAACUUUUUAUCACCUUCUGUAUCCAUCUUAAUUUAUCCCUUAUUUUUUCCCGACCUAGAAAUAACCAAGUGUAGGACAAAACCAUUAUCAUUUUUCUCCCAACAGAAAUAUCUUCAUUCUUUAUAUGUUCUCUCAUCAACAACACAUCUUAUUUGUUUUACAUAUCAAAAUAUUUUCCUUAUCAUUUUUAUGUAUUACAAUUUUUAACACUUAAAAGCCUUAGUAAAACCACGAAACAACUAAUUGGACUGUUAUACCAGCAUUUUCUUAUUGAAAACUUAAGAACAUAUUCCAUAACCUCUAAAAACAUAUUUUUCUCGUGGCACAAUUUCUCUUUAAUGUGGUACAAGAUGUGCACUUAUUCAUUACGUAAAACAUCAUUACCACCAUCUGGCCCCCUCCCACUCAAAUGGCCCUGCAAGCCCCAAAUGCCACCCAGCUCUCUCCUGCCUGGGCUGACUCGUGUGUUUCAGCCACUUUGGGAGCAGGCACUGGUGGGUUGCCCUCAUAUAGUAGUGGGGCUGAAACUGUAGCUGAACCACGUGGGGCCAUGUGACCAAGGAAGAAGAACUGAAAACUCUCCUCGUGGCUGCACAAACCAUGGAUUUACACCUUCACUCCCAGCUUUGUAAACUGAGUGUGUGUGGAACAUCCAAAUGGACAACAGUUACUCCCACAGCUAAGAUGGGUCUUGCUUUAGCAGCUGUGGGCUUUGUGGGUGCAUACACAUAGGGGUUUGGCCAGGCCAGAGUCUCAGCUGCCUCCUUAGAUCCCACAGCAGGUCCAGGUGCAUGACUACUACCGUCCUGGGACCUUACCUCACUGGAUCUGACACUGUGAUGACAAAUCUUUCACUGAAAAAGACACAUGCACCCCUAUGUUCAUUGCAGCACUAUUCACAAUAGCCAAGACAUGGAAACAACCUAAAUGGCCAUUGACAGACAACUGGAUUAAGAAGAUAUGGUAUAUAUACACAAUGGAAUAAUACUCAGCUAUAAAAAGAACAAAAUAAUGCCAUUUGAAGUAACUUGGAUGGAACUAGAGACUCUCAUACUAAGUAAGUCAGAAAGAGAAAUACAAAUAUCAUAUGAUAUCACUUCUAUCUGGAAUCCAAUAUAUGCCACAAAUGAACCUAUUUAUAGAAAAAAAAAAAAAAACUCAUGGACUUGGAGAACAGACUUGUGGUUGCCUAAGGGGAGGGAGUGGGGUAUACUGGGAGUUUGGGGUUAGGAGAUGCAAACUACGGUAUUUGGAAUAGAUAAGAAACAAGAUCCCGCUGUAUAGCACAGGGAACUAUGUCAAGCCACUCGUGAUGGAACAUGAUGGAGGAUAAUUCGAGAAAAAGAAUGUAUGUACAUAUAUAUAACAGAAUGAAGAAAAAAGAAUGAAAACAAGUGAGGACAGUCUCAAAGACUUCUAGUACAACAUUAAAUGUACUAACAUUUGCAUCAUAUGGGUACCAGAGGGGAAAGAUAGAGAGAAGGUGCCUGAUAAAAUAUUUGAAGAGAUUAUAGCCAAAAAUUUCCUAAGAUGAGAAAGGAAACAUUCAUUCAAGUCUGAGUAAUGAAGAGAGUCCCAUACAGGAUGAACCCGGGGAGGAAUAUGCCAAGACACAUUAUGAAUCAAACUGACAAAAAUUAAAAACAGAAAAAAUAUAUUAAAAUUUCCAAAGUAAAAGCAACAAAUAACAUAUCAGGGAAGCCCCGUAAGGUUAUCAGCUUAUUUUAAGCAGAAACUUUACAGACCAGGAGGGAGUGGCAUGAUAUAUUUAAAGUGAUGAAAAGGAAAAACCUACAAUCAAGCAUACCCUACCAAGAAAGGCUCUCAUUCAGAUUUGAUGGAGCAAUCAAAAGCCUGACAGAAAAGAAAAAAGCUAAGAGAAUUCAGCACCACCAAAUCAGCUUUACAACAAAUUCUAAAGGUACUUCUUUAAGAAAGAAAAAAGGCCACGCCUAGAAACAAGAAAAUCACAAAUGGAAGAGCUCACCAGUAAAGACAAACAACAAGUAAAGGUAUGAAAUCAUCCACAUUCUCAUAUAAUAUAAAAACUAGCAACCAUAAGAAGAGGAGAGUAUAAACACAGGAUAUUGAAAAUGCAUUUGAAAUUAAAAGACCUGUAACUAAAAUAAUCUUGUGUAAAUACUGGGAACUCCAAACCAAAAAUCUACAAUAAAUAUAUAAGCAAAAAAGAAAAAGCAAUCCAAACACAAUGCUAAAGAUAGG
Molecule: long non-coding RNA, 6016 nt
Filed under: Sus scrofa (pig)
Lineage: Eukaryota; Metazoa; Chordata; Mammalia; Artiodactyla; Suidae
Description: lncRNA (ENSSSCG00055000477.1)
Source: RNAcentral